RNAcentral lists this ribosomal RNA (382 nucleotides) under uncultured bacterium. RNAcentral's name for it is "bacterial SSU rRNA". It matches the Rfam family "Bacterial small subunit ribosomal RNA", at positions 29 to 407 of the family's 1533-position model. The record is from RNAcentral.
AGUGAACGCUGGCGGCAGGCCUAACACAUGCAAGUCGAACGGCAGCACGGCAGUAGCAAUACUGUGGGUGGCGAGUGGCGGACGGGUGAGGAAUACAUCGGGAUCUACCCUGUUGUGGGGGAUAACGUAGGGAAACUUACGCUAAUACCGCAUAAGAACUGAGGUUGAAAGCGGCGGACCGCAAGGCGUCGCGCGAUUGGAUGAACCGAUGUCCGAUUAGCUAGUUGGCGGGUAAAGGCCCACCAAGGCGACGAUCGGUAGCUGGUCUGAGAGGACGACCAGCCACACUGGAACUGAGACACGGUCCAGACUCCUACGGGAGGCAGCAGUGGGGAAUAUUGGACAAUGGGCGCAAGCCUGAUCCAGCCAUGCCGCGUGGGUG